GACGAACGCUGGCGGCGUGCUUAACACAUGCAAGUCGAACGGAAAGGCCCUGCUUUUGUGGGUUGCUCGAGUGGCGGACGGGUGAGUAAAAGGUGAGUAACCUGCCCGUUAAUUUGGGGUAACUUCAGGAAACUGGGGAUAAUACCGGAGAGGGGCUGCGGCUGAAUGGUGGGGGUUGGGAAGUUUCGGCGGUUGGGGAUGGACUCGCGGCUUAUUAGGUUGUUGGUCGGGUAGGGGCUCGCCAAGGCUUUGAUGGGAAGGCGGCCUGAGAGGUUGACCGGCCACAUGGGGACUGAGAUACGGCCCAGACUCCUACGGGAGGCAGCGGCGGGGAAUAUUGCACAAUGGGCGGAAGCCUGAUGCAGCAACGCCGCGUGCGGGAUGACGGCCUUCGGGUUGUAAACCGCUUCCGCCUGUGACGAAGCGUGAGUGACGGUACUGGGUAAAGAAGCACCGGCUAACUACGUG
RNAcentral lists this ribosomal RNA (468 nucleotides) under uncultured bacterium. RNAcentral describes it as "partial 16S ribosomal RNA". It matches the Rfam family "Bacterial small subunit ribosomal RNA", at positions 28 to 507 of the family's 1533-position model. The record is from RNAcentral.